AAUACUGAGCUGGCAGGCCUAACACAUGCAGUCGAGGGGUAUAAUUUAGCUUGCUAGAUAAGAGACCGGCGCACGGGUGCGUAACGCGUAUGCAAUCUGCCUUGUACAAAGGGAUAGCCCAGAGAAAUUUGGAUUAAUACCUUAUAGUAUGUAAGAGUGGCAUCACUUUUAUAUUAAAGAUUUAUCGGUACAAGAUGAGCAUGCGUCCCAUUAGCUAGUUGGUAUGGUAACGGCAUACCAAGGCAACGAUGGGUAGGGGUCCUGAGAGGGAGAUCCCCCACACUGGUACUGAGACACGGACCAGACUCCUACGGGAGGCAGCAGUGAGGAAUAUUGGUCAAUGGAGGCAACUCUGAACCAGCCAUGCCGCGUGCAGGAUGACGGUCCUAUGGAUUGUGAACUGCUUUUAUACAGGAAGAAACCCUAUCACGUGUGGUAGAUUGACGGUACUGUAAGAAUAAGGAUCGGCUAACUCCGUGCCAGCAGCCGCGGUAAUACGGAGGAUCCAAGCGUUAUCCGGAAUCAUUGGGUUUAAAGGGUCCGUAGGUGGUUUUAUAAGUCAGUGGUGAAAUCCGGCAGCUCAACUGUCGAACUGCCAUUGAUACUGUAGAACUUGAAUUAUUAUGAAGUAACUAGAAUAUGUAGUGUAGCGGUGAAAUGCUUAGAGAUUACAUGGAAUACCAAUUGCGAAGGCAGGUUACUAAUAAUAUAUUGACGCUGAUGGACGAAAGCGUGGGUAGCGAACAGGAUUAGAUACCCUGGUAGUCCACGCCGUAAACGAUGGAUACUAGCUGUUCGGAAGCAAUUCUGAGUGGCUAAGCGAAAGUGAUAAGUAUCCCACCUGGGGAGUACGAACGCAAGUUUGAAACUCAAAUGAAUUGACGG
RNAcentral lists this ribosomal RNA (885 nucleotides) under uncultured bacterium. Its description in RNAcentral is "bacterial SSU rRNA". It matches the Rfam family "Bacterial small subunit ribosomal RNA", at positions 32 to 916 of the family's 1533-position model. The record is from RNAcentral.